CCGGAAGUGCAGCGACAUUUGUGGGCCCACCCCAGGAUAAUCCUUGCUGAUGUGAUUCGAUGCUUCAGACGCAUUUCACUGUACGUUUAGCUGUGCAGUACAUGUGGCAAAUAAAGGACUUCCAGAACCUAAAUAAUCUCAUGUGCCUUGGGGAAAUACCUCUGCUCUCUGUCAGAGAAAUGUCUUGGGAUCAUUUAUGUCUACAUGAAAAGGCAGGUAUAUCAGGGAAUUUGCUGACCCAGACAAUAAUACUGGCCAGUCCGUCUUCAUAGAACUACUGGUGGAAGUGAUGCACAAUUGCAGCUGCAGAGAUACAAAAUACAGGGGAGAUUCAAAAGUGCAGUAAGGAGUAUUGAUCUAGAAUCUUCUACAUUCGGCGGACUCAUUUUGGAAGACUGUACAUCUGCUUGUUAAUGCAAAUAUAUAAUCAGCCAAUUAUGUGGCAGCAACUCAAUUCUGUUACGAAUGAGGAGCAACUCUGAUGGGCAGAAGGGUGCAAAGUCGUCCCCCCUUUUGAGAAUCGCAAAAUCGCUACUAUUUCGGGUCUGAUACCAAGGAAGUGAGAGAGAGACAACGCAGGGAUACACAAAAGUGGAAUGUCUCCUCCUAACAAAAGCGGAACGGAACCACUGAUUACUGCUAUUGUCUCUUGGAGAAGGAAUUGUGUAUUGAGUACUGUUCUAUUCAUUGAAACCCCUCAGGGGGCAGCCAGAGAGAGCUGGUUGAUGUGUUGCAUCAUCCCAACCUGAUUGACACCUGAGACCCCAUGAGUGGGGAUAAAAGUAGGGUCUGGGGAAACACCCCUCAGACGCACCAGGAGAGAUGCUACGAGACUGGUGGGGGGCUUGUGUGUGUGUCCACCCUUGCCUGGGUGACGAGUCCUCCUCGGAACGGUCUAGCUAAAGGAUGGAGGGGUCAUACGUGAAUGGCCACAACAACAACGCAUCGACGCAUCAAGAUUGUAAAAGGAAAGUCGGCAAGUCAAUAACUGUUACUCUCUCUCUCUCUCUCUCUCUCAAACAAUUGCAACACCAUGAACAACAACUACUGCAGCCUGCAUGAACUGAACUGAACUUUAUAUUUCCAUCGGACAAUUCAGUAUCCCCUAGACAAUGAUAGAGCUUAUUUCUUAUUGAUUAUUAUUAUACCUGCACUUUUAGGUUUAGUAUUG
Molecule: long non-coding RNA, 1171 nt
Organism: Hypanus sabinus (Atlantic stingray)
Lineage: Eukaryota; Metazoa; Chordata; Chondrichthyes; Myliobatiformes; Dasyatidae
Exons: 3
Source: RefSeq, a predicted model, not a curated record